Molecule: ribosomal RNA, 415 nt
Filed under: uncultured bacterium
Lineage: Bacteria
Description: partial 23S ribosomal RNA
Rfam family: Bacterial large subunit ribosomal RNA (bases 93-415)
Source: RNAcentral
GGAUUAAUUUAAAAAGAAACUAGUAAAUUUACAAAACUAAUUAGUAGUUAUGUCUUUUUUAUAAGUUUAAUUAAAAAAAAUUUUAUAAGGAUAUAAGUAAUAGUGUACCUUUUUGCACAAGGGUCCAACAAGUUAAUUUAUAUAGCAAGUCAAAAUGAGACGUAAAGAAAUUAAGUUUGAAAAAUAGCUAAUAGUUAUAUGAAUUAAACCCGAAACCAAAGGAUUUAACCGUGAACAAGCCGAAAAUAAGUUUUAUUGGAGGGCUGAACCAAUAUUUGUUGCAAUAAAUUUGGAUGAUUUACGGUUCGGAGUGAAAAGCUAAUCGACUUUGGUGAUAGCUGGUUUUCUGCGAAAACUAUUUAGGUAGUGUGUUAUUAAUAAAUAAUAAAUUAGGUAAAGUACUUAUUAAUCUAGG